GGCGCAUGCGUCCUGCUCUGCCGCCUCGUUACGCAUGCGGGGCCGGGGCCGUGCUGAGAGGCCUGCGGGGGGAAGGCUGCGGCGGCAGCGGCGUGGAGCGGCAGCGGGGCCGGGCCGGGCCGGGCCGAGGAGGGCUUUGCAGUGCCGGGAGCUGAACUGCUUUGCCCCAGCCCAGCUGCAGAUCUGCACUCAGCCUCAGCCCCAAGCCCUGGCAGGGUGGGAUGCUUUGGUACCAGGCCGUGGAGCUGUUUGAAAUGCAAUUGCUGCUUGCAGCUGGUUCAGAAAUGGAUUUCCUGUGGCUGUGGGGGCAGAAAUGUCUCUGUGCACACGCUCAGAGGACAGGUCCCUGGAUUGCAGUGCUGCUCCAAUGGCCUGUGGUGGCUGCAGGCAGCCGCGGCCCGGGGAGCCCAAGACUCAGCGUGUGGAAGGGUUGGGAGCAGCCCUGGGUGCCUGCAAGGAUUCGGGAGGUGAGCUGAGCAGGCCCGAGCAGGUCUGAAACCCUGCCACGGAGAGGCACAGGCCCCGCAGCAGUGCCUGCAUUUCAGCAGCUGCCCAUCGGAGCUAAGCACAGCCUCGGCUCAGAGGUUUGCACUUUGCUUUCCACUCCACUGGCCAAGCCAGCCAGAUGUGCAGCAGCAGCAGGAUGGGCACGAGGGCCCCAGCUGCUGCGGUGAAUCCGUCAGCACGGACGCUGGUGCCGCUGCAGCCUGGCCCUGCAGCCUGGCAGGGUGAUCUCCUUUGGCUCGGCUCCUGUGGGCUCCAGGUAGGGUUUGUCUGUGUCUGCCAGGAGGGAAGGGUUGAAAAGGAGAUUGCUCAGUCAGAGCUCUGACCUAGUAGCUGAAGAUUCUGUCCCAUGCAGAUGCUGACAGAGCAGCUGGAUGAGCAGAAAGCCUCUCGUGCAAACGGCUGUGGAGUGCUUCUCUCUGUUCCCUGCUGCUGGGAGGUGCUGACAGGUUAGGGUUUGCAGGGAGGCAGAUCUCGCGGAGAAGGGCUGAACUCACUGUGCAAGGACACUGCACAAUCCAGUGUGGAUCAAAAGCGAGUGACAACUUUAUUUAGUAGCCACACGCUUAUAUGUGUUACAGAUAAUUUAUGCAUACAUGUAAGAAGCUAAAUGGCUGAAUCCCUAAAUACCCCAUUUGCUCUGCUUGAGUUGUCUGCUGACUCGUCAAGGACAGUGCCUCCCUGGCUAGUUAUAUUAAAUGCUGCCUUUGUUUAUUCAAUAUGUCUUUGUUUCUGUGUGGCCUAGCACAGCCUUAAUUUAGUUCCAUAUACUCAUCCUGCUUGCCCACUUCUAAGUCAUGUCCAUUUUCCUUUAGCCGUUCUGCAACAAGGGUUAGUGGAGGGGUGUGAAGAAUUUGCAGGGAUCUCUAAGGGUCUGCAGACACCUUUGAAAGGUCUGAAGUUGUCUGUAGAUGUCUCUAGGGUGCUGCAGGGGUCUGCAGGCACCUCUUAAAUGUCUGGAGGGGUCUGUAGCUGUCUGUAGAGGUCUCUAGAGCUUUGUAGAGGAAUGUGGGUGCCUGCAGCUGUCUCUAGGGGGGUGUGGAGGUCUGCAGGCACCUUUCAAAUGUCUGGAGGGGUCUGCAGAGCUCUGUCAGGGUCUGUAGAUUUUGGCAGGGUUCUGUAGGAGUCUCUGGGCAGCUUUUAAAGGUGUGAAGGGGUCUGUAGCUAUUUGUCAGGGUCUGAGAGAGUCUGCAGAGGUCUGUAGAGUUGAGUAGGUGUUUGGAGGUUUCUGUGUGGGUCUGUAGGUGCCUGCAGGCAUCAGUGAAGGCUCUGGAGGGGUCUGUAGAUGUGUGCAGGGGUCUGUUAAAUAUCUGGAGAGGUCUGGAUGGGUGUGGGGAGCUCUGUAGGGGUCUGUAUGUGUUUGCAGGCACCUGCAGGGGUCCGUAGAUGCCUGUAGGGAUUUGCAGGGCUCUGUUAGUUCUCUGUAGAGGUCUGCCUGGGUCUGGAGGUGCCUUUUAAUGGGUCUGUGGAGGUCUGGAGAGCUCUGCAGUGGGCUGCAGUGGUCUGUUAAAGGUGUGGAGGGGUCUGUAGGUGUCUGCAUUAAGUGAAGGAGUUCUUUGGCUCCAGGACACUUUUGUCCAGUGUCUCUAAAGUGUGACUGUCCCAAAUGAGAUAGAGGUGCACUGGCAGCGUGUUUGCAGAUGGCCCCAAGCUGAGUGGUGCUGGAGAGCAAGCAGAGGGGCAGGAUGGCAUCCAGGAAACACCUGGGCAGGCAGGGGAGCUGGGCCCAGGCGAAGCUUGUGAGGUUCCAGGAGAGCAAGGGCAGGGUGCUGCGUGUGGGCGGGAGGAAGCCUGCCUGUGCCUGCGGGCUGGGGGCGGAGGCGAUAAAGAGCAGCCCUGGGGGUGCUGGGGAGAAGCUGAGUGCGAGCACAUGGUGUGAGCUUGCAGGCCAGGAGGAGCCUGUCGGUGUCUGCAGGGCUGUGCAAGCAGCUGUAGGAGUCUGCCCAGGUCUGUAGGUGUCUGCAGGGGUCUUCUAAAAGGCCUGGAGGCUUUUCUGAGUGUGCAGAGGUGUGCGGGGGUCUGGAGGCCUCUGUAGGUACCCUUAGGGGCCUGGAGGGCUCUCUGGGUGUCUGUGGAGGUGGUUAGGGGUCUGUAGAGGUGUCUGUGGUGCUGUAGGUGUCUCAAAAGGCUGUGAAGGUCUUGAGGUGCCUUGCAAAGGUCUCGAGGUGUCUGUAGAGGUCUGUAGGGGUCUGCAGGGCUCUAUGGAAAGGUCGGGAGGGGUCCCUAGAGGUCUCUAGGAGGCUGGAGGGGUGUGCAAGUGUCUGUAGCAUUCAGCAGGUGUGUGGAGGUUUCUGUUCUGGGCCCGCAGGUGUCUGCAGGCAUCUUGUAAAGGUCUGCAGGGGUCUGUGGAGCUCUGUCAGGCAUCUGUUAAGUGUCUGCAGGAAUCCAUUGAAGGUGUGGAGGGGGCUGCAGGGCUCUGCAGAGGAGGCUGUGGCUGUGUGUAGAGGUCUUAGGGGUGUGAAGAGUUUGCAGGGGUCUGUAAGGGUCUGCAGAGCCCUUGGAAAGGUCUGAAGUUGUCUGCAGGAGUCUGGAGAUGUCUCUAGGGCACUGCAGGGCUCUGCAGGGGUCUGCUGCUGCGGGAGGAGUGGGCUGGCGGAGCCACGCCCCCCGGGCUGCGGAGCCACGCCCCCUCCCUGGCCUUUCUUGCCUGGCUCUGGUUGCUGCCUCUUUAUUUGCAUAACCACACCCCUUUCCGUAGCCACGCCCCCUCCCCAUGCUGCGCCUGGCCCCGCCCUCUCGGCCCGCCCCCGCCCCACAGUAACUAAUUAUAUGGUGACAGAUUUGGAGCUUCCUUUGGAGGAGUAGUUCAGGAGGUGGCUGCUGAUUGGUGGAUUGUGAUGGGCGUGGUUUGCCGCUUGUUCUGCCUCCCUCAUUUGCAUACAUUUCAAUAUCAGGCUCUGCCUUUGAGUACCUUGAAGAUGUGUUGGGGGUUGGGGAGGGGUUACCAGGAGGGUCAGCAGCUGAUUGGUGGAUCCUGUGGGGGCUGUGGGCAUGGUCACCCCUGUGCCCCGCCCCCUCAUUUGCAUAAACGAAGGCAGGGUCCACCUGGCGGAGUUUGGUGCUUUAUUGGGCGGGGGGAACUGGUUAGGACAGGGAGGGUCAGCAGCUGAUUGGUGCGUCCUCUGGCGUGGGCGGGGCCUGCCCCUGCCCCGCCCCUCCGAAGUGCUCGAUGGUCUCCAGCACAGCCCCAGCAGCUCCAGGAAGGAGGAGACCUCCCCCCGCAGGCCUCCAGCCCCCCGGGAGACCCAGAGCCUGCGGGGGGAGGGCUCAGGGACCCCCAGACCCUCCCAGGGACCUCCAAUAACCUCCCAGGGACCUCUGAUGACCUCUCGGGGACCCCCAGACCCUCCCAGGGACCCUCAGACCCUCCUAGGGACCACCCAGGGACCCGCAGACCCGCCCACUGGCCUCCCAGAGACCCCCACUCACCUCCUUGUAUGCCCCCACUAAUCCCCCAGCCCCUCCCCGUCCCCGCCCAGCGCCCCCCAGUGCCCACUCAGGCCCUCAGCUUGUCCCCACAGCACUGCAGCCUGGCCUGGGGGCGCUGCUGAGGCCUCCCCCAGGGCCGGGCUGGGGGCUGCAGGCCUGGGCCCAGCGCCCUCAGUGCCACCUGUGCCAGGCCAGCAG
Molecule: RNA transcript, 4131 nt
Organism: Pogoniulus pusillus (Red-fronted tinkerbird)
Lineage: Eukaryota; Metazoa; Chordata; Aves; Piciformes; Lybiidae
Exons: 6
Source: RefSeq, a predicted model, not a curated record